GAUGAACGCUGGCGGCAGGCUUAAUACAUGCAAGUUGAACGGUAACAUGUUGUAGCAAUACGAUGAUGACGAGUGGCGCACGGGUGCGUAACACGUGUGUAACCUACCUUAUACAGGAACAUAACGUUGAGAAAUCGGCGCUAACAUUCCAUAAUAUUAUUUGUAGGCAUCUAUGAAUAAUUAAAACUCCGGUGGUAUAAGAUGGGCACGCGUUCCAUUAGCUAGUUGGUAAGGUAACGGCUUACCAAGGCAACGAUGGAUAGGGGUUCUGAGAGGAUAAUCCCCCACACUGGAACUGAGACACGGUCCAGACUCCUACGGGAGGCAGCAGUAAGGAAUAUUGGGCAAUGGAGGCAACUCUGACCCAGCCAUGCCGCGUGCAGGAAGACGGCCCUAUGGGUUGUAAACUGCUUUUAAUAGGGAUUAAAGUCGACUACGUGUAGUUGUUUGCAAGUACCUAUAGAAUAAGCAUCGGCUAACUCCGUGCCAGCAGCCGCGGUAA
This 502-nucleotide ribosomal RNA is filed under the name uncultured bacterium. RNAcentral's name for it is "bacterial SSU rRNA". It matches the Rfam family "Bacterial small subunit ribosomal RNA", at positions 28 to 523 of the family's 1533-position model. The record is from RNAcentral.